GUGAGGAAUAUUGCGCAAUGGGGGCAACUCUGACGCAGCCAUGCCGCGUGCAGGAAGAAGGCGCUACGCGUUGUAAACUGCUUUUAACCGGGAAGAAACCCCAGGACGUGUCCUGGGUUGACGGUACCGGAGGAAUAAGCACCGGCUAACUUCGUGCCAGCAGCCGCGGUAAUACGAAGGGUGCAAGCGUUAUCCGGAUUCAUUGGGUUUAAAGGGUGCGUAGGCGGAGCGUUAAGUCAGUGGUGAAAUCCUGCAGCUUAACUGUAGACUUGCCAUUGAUACUGGCGCUCUUGAGUGCGCUUGAAGUGGGCGGAAUGUGCCGUGUAGCGGUGAAAUGCUUAGAUAUGGCACAGAACACCAAUUGCGAAGGCAGCUCACUAAGGCGAUACUGACGCUGAGGCACGAAAGCGUGGGGAUCGAACAGGAUUAGAAACCCCUUAGUCC
Molecule: ribosomal RNA, 444 nt
Filed under: uncultured bacterium
Lineage: Bacteria
Description: partial 16S ribosomal RNA
Rfam family: Bacterial small subunit ribosomal RNA
Source: RNAcentral